Molecule: long non-coding RNA, 211 nt
Filed under: Cicer arietinum (chickpea)
Lineage: Eukaryota; Viridiplantae; Streptophyta; Magnoliopsida; Fabales; Fabaceae
Description: long non-coding RNA (CARI_LNC003575)
Source: RNAcentral
CAUGUUUUUGAUGAUGACAAGACCACCAACUAUGGACAAUGCAGCAAGAUCAAAAAGAAGAUCAAACCAUCUUGAAUAAGCUUCCAAAUCCAAAUAAUAAAUGAGUAAAUGUAAAGGUAUAUGAUACAAAUCAAUAGUUCAAAUACUUGAGAACAAUUCAUAUUUACAUAUGCAUUUAACAUGUUUUCGAAAAUCAAAAACAACAUUAACA